UCUCCUUUGAGCUCUGGAGUUUUCCUCCAGCAUUGUAAGACUCUAUGGUGAGAGUGGUGCAGAAGCCUGUUUUGGCCGAGGUCAUUUGGUCCAAUUGGAUGGAUACCAAAACACACUCUACCGUGCUACAUUAUGUAUUGGAUGUUCUCUUAUACACUGAAUACCCUGGCCCAAGGAAGUAAACACUUUAUUUUACGAAGGUUAAACUCCUGCUUCGACCUGCUGUAACUCUAUCAUGGUGUUUUGAUCGUUAACGCCGAUGGCUCUUCAACAGAGGUCAUGAAAGGAAAAAAAAGGUCAGGUAAAAUCGGAGCCUCUUACUUUUUUUUUAAGCAUGGCGGUCCCUAUGAAGAAAGAGGUUUUUUUUUUUUUUUUUUUUGGAAAAAAAGAAAAACAAUCAGAAUUUUAUUCAAAUGUUGAGCAAGUACCCGAGUGUAAGCGGUUGUGGCACAAUAGACACGAAAGCUUAUGAAGAAUCGAAGAUACGGUUGCUUAUGUGGAAAGCUGCGGCAAAAUCGUCAACUCGAUUAGCAUCACCGUUCCUGUUGGUGGCGAUAAUUCGAUAUGGAAGCCCAUGAAAUCUACCUGAGCCGAAAUCCAAAUCUACAUGAAGCGUUAUAUCCAUGCGCUUCUUGGUUGUGAUACCACCUUCCAUGAAUACGGUUAGCAAAGGGGGUAUCGUCCAAGAAGCUUGUCUCCUCACCCUACAUUCGCGCACAGGCAGCUGUUAACAAGACAGAGCUAAGAGAACCACAAAAUCCCCAACUUCAGCAGCAGCCAUGUUCCACAGUUCCAAGUUCCAAUAUUCUAUCAAGUCAACCAAUGGAAAGGCGAUAGAAAGGCCGUCUGAACUCUAAGCCUAGAUGGUGGUCAACGACAGGUUGAACCCUUAGCAGAUCUUGAGAGACCUCCAGGACUGCAGCACGUUUUAUGCUCCUGCCGCAUGUUCGCCCUACGGCUAAUGCAAAGGGCCAUCGUAUUAUAAGUCCCUCUUAAUCGAAGACACGGAUUCCAUUGAUUUAAUCUGCACCCACGAGUAAGAACCUAGAGUUUAAUAAUCCGUGUAACAGGCUCUUAAUUUUAAAGAAAUUAUAAAAACUUCAAACAUUCUGAGAAGUCAAUCUAUUUUCACGAAAAAAACGAAACCAUGAGAAUGAUUAUAUUAUAAGUAAUGUGUCUAUGUACUUUCUUGUUUUAUAUCGAAUCAAUGACAUUAUUAUUAAGAGCCACUAAGCACUAUUUGUAUGAAAACCUGUUUUCAUCACGUAUAAUUAUUUAUGAUAACGAAAUGUCUGCCGCGAUAUCAAAGUGAUGGUGACAAGGACCUAAAAAUCCGUGUGCAUUUCACCCAAAACAACUAAACUACUUCAAAUAACGAUAAUUUUUAUCCUAAUCGUGUAGAAAUAUUUAUCCCUAGUAAUCUAAAGUUGUAUAAAUUCCUUUUUUCUAAA
Nematostella vectensis (starlet sea anemone) is the source of this 1451-nucleotide long non-coding RNA. RefSeq lists it as uncharacterized. NCBI's taxonomy places the organism in Eukaryota, Metazoa, Cnidaria, Anthozoa, Actiniaria, Edwardsiidae. The transcript has 2 exons. The record is from RefSeq and is a predicted model, not a curated record.